GAUGAAGAACGUAGCGAAAUGCGAUAAGUAAUGUGAAUUGCAGAAUUCAGUGAAUCAUCGAAUCUUUGAACGCACAUUGCGCCCGCCAGUAUUCUGGCGGGCAUGCCUGUUCGAGCGUCAUUUCAACCAUCAAGCCCCAGGCUUGUGUUGGGGACCUGCGGCUGCCGCAGGCCCUGAAAACCAGUGGCGGGCUCGCUGUCACACCGGGCGUAGUAGAUUUUAUCUCGCUCAGGGCGUGCUGCGGGUUCCGGCCGUUAAAAAGCCUUUUUUACCCAAGGUUGACCUCGGAUCAGGUAGGAAGACCCGCUGAACUUAAGCGUAUCAAUAAGCGGAGGA
This 336-nucleotide unclassified non-coding RNA is filed under the name soil metagenome. RNAcentral's name for it is "partial contains 5.8S ribosomal RNA, internal transcribed spacer 2, and large subunit ribosomal RNA". The stretch from base 1 to 120 matches the Rfam family "5.8S ribosomal RNA", at positions 35 to 154 of the family's 154-position model. The record is from RNAcentral.